GUGCACAGACCCGCCGUGUACACCACAACUCAAGUAUACACAAGGCGUCUACAAACCAUAUAGUAAAAGCGUAUAAUUCUAACCAGAUAAUCAGAGCACGACUUUAAAUUUAAACUCCUACAAUCCAAACCUUAAUACAAGAAAUAACAAUAACGUACAAUUAACAAAAGCUUAAUAUACAUCUCUGUACUAAACUAUAUAAACUGCUA
RNAcentral lists this long non-coding RNA (209 nucleotides) under Ananas comosus (pineapple). RNAcentral describes it as "long non-coding RNA (ACOM_LNC035595)". The record is from RNAcentral. Lineage: Eukaryota; Viridiplantae; Streptophyta; Magnoliopsida; Poales; Bromeliaceae.